UCUUCUCUACUGGUACAGAGGCAAGCGAUAGUGGAGCAAAGUGGCUAAAUAUGAAACUGAUCGUAGUGAAGAAGGAUUUGUACCUCAAACCACAGCUGAAUAUUCAGUCUGCAAAGCAUAAAUUGAUUGCUUUACUGGAUUGUUGUGCUAGCAGUUAAUGUGUUGUGUGACUUUGAAUAGCAGCUCAUACUGUUUCAGAUGUAAACAGUUUGCAUUAAAAACAUCUCAAUGAAUGGGAGAGAAAUAGUUUCUCUGGGAACACUCAAAUUAUAACUUAGGUUAACCUUACAUUGAAGAGAAGGUCAAUGUGCUGUCUCUUUCCUGGCAUCUCUUGCAAACCCCACAGUUCAUCUCUACUCUCUAGUGCUGUUGGUUUUAAAAUACCAAAGUCAUUCUGGGGAACUUGAGGGCUUUUUUUAUUAGCAGUUCUGUUAAUUUACUUGUGAUUUUUUUUGAUAACUGAGAAGACUCCCUGUGAAAAAAUACAGCAGUCUCAGUUCCAGCUUUCAUCUGCUCUGACUGCUGAUAAUUCCCUGCCUGUGAUGGCAUAAUUAGUACAGUAACCACUGUGAUGCUAUGUUCAGGAAGAUGAUGUACCUGUGCAAUGCAUACAUCAGGGUUGAAAUGAUACCUUCUGAUGAACAGGACUACAUAUACUCUGUAAACAUGCAAGUAUAUUUAGUUAGUAUUAAUUUUUUUAUUUCAUGUCAAGAUCUAGAAAGCAUUUCUUGUCAAGUCUGAAAAUGAAGACAGAAAAUCCAUAUGCAAAUAACAGGAAAAGUAGCAGUUGGAAAAUAGAACGGAGAAGCAAAAUCCUAUCAUGCAGAGGUUUAAAGGUCACCAAGAUUUUGAACCCUAUGGCUGUUUCUUUAAGUCCUGAUGCAGAAUUAUGAAGACAGGAAUAUGGAUUUAUUACAUGAGUUUCUUGAUGAUAGUUACAAAUCUUUGCAGAGUGAUGGAUGUCCUCUGUUGUGCUUUACCGUUAAGCUGAAUUCUCAUGUGGGAGAUGAUGUGAAGGUUCAUGCUAAGCACAACAAAAAGCUAUUGCAAGGUUUCUCCCCCAACACAAGGAGUGAGAGUUCAUUGAGUUCAGCGACAGAGUAGAUACUUGCCAGGGAAAUAUUGAGAGUUUUGAAGUGAAAUACAAUGCAGAACACAGUGUGAAGAGUGGUGGCUCCUGCAAGCAUCUGGAAACCUGGAUCACAAUCAAGAAGUGACAUAAUUCAACUCUCUGUGAGAAUUCAAAGGCUGCAUCAGAAAAAUCCCAGCCCCCAUUUAUCUGGUUUUACAGCCACACUGCUCUAUUUGUCCCUCAUUGCCAUGUAGCAAGCCUACUCAGAAAUGACAAGUAGACCAUAGAGAAACUGGC
This is a long non-coding RNA of Cygnus olor (mute swan), 1369 nucleotides long. RefSeq lists it as uncharacterized. The record is from RefSeq and is a predicted model, not a curated record. NCBI's taxonomy places the organism in Eukaryota, Metazoa, Chordata, Aves, Anseriformes, Anatidae. The transcript has 5 exons.